RNAcentral lists this non-coding RNA (30 nucleotides) under Homo sapiens (human). Lineage: Eukaryota; Metazoa; Chordata; Mammalia; Primates; Hominidae. The record is from RNAcentral.
UACCCUUUAGUCCCUGCUCUCAUGGGUAAA